RNAcentral lists this ribosomal RNA (253 nucleotides) under uncultured bacterium. RNAcentral's name for it is "partial 16S ribosomal RNA". It matches the Rfam family "Bacterial small subunit ribosomal RNA", at positions 524 to 776 of the family's 1533-position model. The record is from RNAcentral.
UACGUAGGGAGCAAGCGUUGUCCGGAAUCAUUGGGCGUAAAGCGCGCGUAGGCGGGCCUGUAAGUCCGUUGUGAAAGUCAAAGGCUCAACCUUUGAAAGCCGAUGGAUACUGCAGGGCUAGAGUCCGGAAGAGGCGAGUGGAAUUCCUGGUGUAGCGGUGGAAUGCGCAGAUAUCAGGAGGAACACCAAUAGCGAAGGCAGCUCGCUGGGACGGUACUGACGCUAAGGCGCGAAAGCGUGGGGAGCGAACAGG